Molecule: ribosomal RNA, 1323 nt
Filed under: Bacillus subtilis
Lineage: Bacteria; Bacillati; Bacillota; Bacilli; Caryophanales; Bacillaceae
Description: bacterial SSU rRNA
Rfam family: Bacterial small subunit ribosomal RNA
Source: RNAcentral
ACUCGGCCAGAUGGGAGCUUGCUCCCUGAUGUUAGCGGCGGACGGGUGAGUAACACGUGGGUAACCUGCCUGUAAGACUGGGAUAACUCCGGGAAACCGGGGCUAAUACCGGAUGCUUGUUUGAACCGCAUGGUUCAGACAUAAAAGGUGGCUUCGGCUACCACUUACAGAUGGACCCGCGGCGCAUUAGCUAGUUGGUGAGGUAACGGCUCACCAAGGCGACGAUGCGUAGCCGACCUGAGAGGGUGAUCGGCCACACUGGGACUGAGACACGGCCCAGACUCCUACGGGAGGCAGCAGUAGGGAAUCUUCCGCAAUGGACGAAAGUCUGACGGAGCAACGCCGCGUGAGUGAUGAAGGUUUUCGGAUCGUAAAGCUCUGUUGUUAGGGAAGAACAAGUGCCGUUCAAAUAGGGCGGCACCUUGACGGUACCUAACCAGAAAGCCACGGCUAACUACGUGCCAGCAGCCGCGGUAAUACGUAGGUGGCAAGCGUUGUCCGGAAUUAUUGGGCGUAAAGGGCUCGCAGGCGGUUUCUUAAGUCUGAUGUGAAAGCCCCCGGCUCAACCGGGGAGGGUCAUUGGAAACUGGGGAACUUGAGUGCAGAAGAGGAGAGUGGAAUUCCACGUGUAGCGGUGAAAUGCGUAGAGAUGUGGAGGAACACCAGUGGCGAAGGCGACUCUCUGGUCUGUAACUGACGCUGAGGAGCGAAAGCGUGGGGAGCGAACAGGAUUAGAUACCCUGGUAGUCCACGCCGUAAACGAUGAGUGCUAAGUGUUAGGGGGUUUCCGCCCCUUAGUGCUGCAGCUAACGCAUUAAGCACUCCGCCUGGGGAGUACGGUCGCAAGACUGAAACUCAAAGGAAUUGACGGGGGCCCGCACAAGCGGUGGAGCAUGUGGUUUAAUUCGAAGCAACGCGAAGAACCUUACCAGGUCUUGACAUCCUCUGACAAUCCUAGAGAUAGGACGUCCCCUUCGGGGGCAGAGUGACAGGUGGUGCAUGGUUGUCGUCAGCUCGUGUCGUGAGAUGUUGGGUUAAGUCCCGCAACGAGCGCAACCCUUGAUCUUAGUUGCCAGCAUUCAGUUGGGCACUCUAAGGUGACUGCCGGUGACAAACCGGAGGAAGGUGGGGAUGACGUCAAAUCAUCAUGCCCCUUAUGACCUGGGCUACACACGUGCUACAAUGGGCAGAACAAAGGGCAGCGAAACCGCGAGGUUAAGCCAAUCCCACAAAUCUGUUCUCAGUUCGGAUCGCAGUCUGCAACUCGACUGCGUGAAGCUGGAAUCGCUAGUAAUCGCGGAUCAGCAUGCCGCGGUGAAUACG